CCUACUACUAUUCCCCUAUUCAAAAUAAAAAUGUCGUUUCCAAGGGUGCUCCCCCAUCACGCUUGCGCCCAUGCAAAUUCCUGUAGCCGGCAAAAAUUGAUUUCGUGUAUUGGGAGUACUGCAAUGCAUCAUCUACAUAUAAACCCUCACACAAUCAGAAUCUCUCAUCUAGCAUAUUGCUCAACCAUUCCAAAACAUGUUGCAAAACUCCCAUUCACCUUAAUCGUGAAAAAAAAAUUUCAAUUUCCUGGUAGAAUGUCUCGCAAAACAGAUUUCGUAUGCGAUAUAGAUGAUUCCAAAGAAAUCUGGCGUCUUGCUGUUCGUAACAAUGACCUGUGGAGCGUCGUCAAUAGCAAAGGGUUUAUGUUAGGAAGCAAGAUGCAGAGCAAUGGAUGGAAGAUUACUGUUAAUGAAUCUAAGCUAGAGAUUCAUCUUUUGUGAACAUCUGCGCUGGAUCUGUGUUGGGGCAAUGCAUUUCCGGCGGCGACUUUUCAUGAUGUGUUAUAUCAAUUUCCAUGUCUGCUGUGUCAUGAGUGCACUUCUGCCUCCUUGCGGUUAGCGUAUCAUGAACUGAUCGCCGCAUAUGAUUCAGUUUGGCUCAAGUGGUAGUUUUAUAUCUGUUGGAAUUUCGAAUCGAUCAAACUCAUGCAGGUGUGAGUCUGUAGCAUAGUUUUGUUCUGCACGGGUAAGUUUUUUUUCCGAAUCUGUUACUGCAACAGUGUUGUUUGGCUACAUUGUUGUUUCCAAAUCUGUUACUACAACAGUUUUUUAAAUUAUUCUAUAUAUUUUAAUGUCAAUUUUUAUUUAUUACUUAAAUCACAUUGCAAAGGUAUUCCAUGCUCAAAUCACUACACGUAUACUUGAUGUUAUUUGAUAAUUCUUCCAUAACUACAUCCUUGCUCUUUCAACAUCCCCUUCAACUUCAUAACCUAAAGACAACACAAUAGAACUAACAGUAAGUUUUUUCUUCUUUAUUUAUUCUAUUGAAUUCAGUAAAAUGAGACAGGGUUAUGUAACUAACCGUGAGUUUUCUGAGUAUGAUAAAAUUGAUAUGAGAAUUCUUCCUUGAUUCCAAAUCAGACAACAACUAUUUCAAAUCAGACUUGGUCACUCUACUAAGAUUGAAGAGGUAAUUUUGUGUUAAUACAUGUGUUGAAUGCCAACAAAUUCAAGGAUAUAAUAAAUAAUAAUGCUUAUUAUCUUCUUGCGAAUGAGAUCAUUGAUCGUCAUUGCUUCAAUAAAUUUCUAAUCUAUUGAUCGUCGGAACUUAUCUUCUUGCGAAUGAGAUCAUUGAUCGUCAUUGCUUCAAUAAAUUUCUAAUCUAUUGAUCGUCGGAACUUUUUGUACAUGUAAGACAAUUCCAUACAUUUGAUAUAUCUCAUAAUAUUUCCUCUACAGAUUAUGUAUAAGUGCCUUUGGUAAGUUGAUUGACGAUUUCAUUCGGACUGAAUAGAGGUCGUAUGAUUUUUUAUCGAAAAAUGCAGUGCUUUUAAUUUUUCCUUUCACCUUGCUUUCAAUCCAACAUUAGAGUGUGUUUCACCUAUUCUACCUCUUUAGUUGAACAUUUUCAAUCAAAUUAUUGGUACAUCUUAAAAUUUCAUUUUUAUUUGAGUUAUCCUUUGGACAGUGUUUCAGUCCAAGCUUAACUCAGCCUAACCAUAGUCAGUUUUAUAUUUUUGAGAAAUAAUAGUAAUUAUAAUUGCAUGUAUAUAUGAUAAUUGCAUGUAUAUAAGGAUUAUGUGUCCGUUCUGUGUAUAUCUGCACCGGAUUGAAAGUCGCCUGCUACUGGUUUUGGCUUCGGACAGGUAUUUGGUAUAUCUGCGUAAUUGGAUUUGAAUUUGGAGUUGCUGUACAAAAGCUUGGGGCUAGAGGAUUUAAAGUUGAGCUAAAGCUAAAAUUCUGUUUCUGGGGAUUUAGGCGCUGUGCGAGUUCAAAUAGGUUAUGUUGACUUAUUUUUCUGGUGUGUUAGGUGUUUUGCCCGCAUAUAAUCUCAGAUUUCUCUUGCAUCGGUGUGGUCAGACGGCAUUUUUUGAUCUGUUUAAAAUUUCAGGAAUCAAUUAGGGUAUUUCUGCUAAGAAUUUUUUUUUAUUAAUCUGUUAGAAUGAUUGAUUGUAAAGAGGGUUGUCUGAAAUUGAUGUGCUUGAGUUUUGUCAAUGUAAUGGGGUUGGAAGUUUGGCGUAGUCUGUAUGUAUUUAAACUUAAUGUGACAGAAUUAAUUAUAUGAGAAAUAAAGAGGCUGAAUCAAUUUUUAGAAUGGAUAUUUUAUAAUCUUUGAAC
This is an RNA transcript of Vicia villosa (hairy vetch), 2277 nucleotides long. RefSeq lists it as uncharacterized. NCBI's taxonomy places the organism in Eukaryota, Viridiplantae, Streptophyta, Magnoliopsida, Fabales, Fabaceae. The transcript is spliced from 4 exons. The record is from RefSeq and is a predicted model, not a curated record.